RNAcentral lists this ribosomal RNA (775 nucleotides) under Dorylaimus aff. stagnalis 2 JS-2018. Its description in RNAcentral is "SSU rRNA". It matches the Rfam family "Eukaryotic small subunit ribosomal RNA", at positions 116 to 891 of the family's 1831-position model. The record is from RNAcentral. Lineage: Eukaryota; Metazoa; Nematoda; Enoplea; Dorylaimida; Dorylaimidae.
UUUACUAGAAUAUAGUUAUCCUACUUGGAUAACUGUGGCAAUUCUAGAGCUAAUACAUGCAAAAAAGCUCUGCCCGCAAGGAACGAGCGCAUUUAUUAGAAUAAAAACCAAUCGGGUUUCGGCCCGUAAUUUGGUGAAUCUGAAUAACUUUGCCAAUCGCACAGUCCUAGUACUGGCGAUGUAUCUUUCAAGUGUCUGCCUUAUCAACUUUCGAUGGUAGGUUAUACGCCUACCAUGGUAGUAACGGGUAACGGAGAAUAAGGGUUCGACUCCGGAGAGGGAGCCUGAGAAACGGCUACCACAUCCAAGGAAGGCAGCAGGCGCGCAAAUUACCCACUUCCAGAACGGAGAGGUAGUGACGAAAAAUAACGAGACAGUCCUCUUCGAGGUCUGUCAUCGGAAUGGGUACAAUUUAAAUCCUUUAACGAGGAUCUAUUGGAGGGCAAGUCUGGUGCCAGCAGCCGCGGUAAUUCCAGCUCCAAUAGCGUAUAUUAAAGUUGUUGCGGUUAAAACGCUCGUAGUUGGAUCUGCGGCCUCGGAGAACGGUCCCCCGAAAGGGCGGUCACUGUCUCUCCUAGCCUAAAGUCAAGUCGUCUCUAGGUGCUCUUUACCGAGUGCUUAGAGUGACUAGAACGUUUACUUUGAAAAAAUUAGAGUGCUUAAAGCAGGCGAAAUAGCCUGAAUAAGGUGCAUGGAAUAAUGGAAUAGGACCUCGGUUCUAUUUUGUUGGUUUUCGGAACCUGAGGUAAUGAUUAAGAGGAACAGACGGGGGCAU